This 422-nucleotide ribosomal RNA is filed under the name uncultured bacterium. Its description in RNAcentral is "bacterial SSU rRNA". It matches the Rfam family "Bacterial small subunit ribosomal RNA", at positions 358 to 772 of the family's 1533-position model. The record is from RNAcentral.
GGAAUAUUGGACAAUGGGCGAAAGCCUGAUCCAGCCAUGCCGCGUGUGUGAAGAAGGUCUUCGGAUUGUAAAGCACUUUAAGCUGGGAGGAAGGGCAGUAAGUUAAUACCUUGCUGUUUUGACGUUACCUGCAGAAUAAGCACCGGCUAACUUCGUGCCAGCAGCCGCGGUAAUACGAAGGGUGCAAGCGUUAAUCGGAAUUACUGGGCGUAAAGCGCGCGUAGGUGGUUCAGCAAGUUGGAUGUGAAAGCCCCGGGCUCAACCUGGGAACUGCAUCCAAAACUACUGGGCUAGAGUAUGGUAGAGGGUGGUGGAAUUUCCUGUGUAGCGGUGAAAUGCGUAGAUAUCGGGAGGAACACCAGUGGCGAAGGCGGCUCUCUGGACCAAGACUGACGCUGAGGCGCGAAAGCGUGGGGAGCAAA